RNAcentral lists this small nucleolar RNA (107 nucleotides) under Marmota marmota marmota (Alpine marmot). RNAcentral's name for it is "Small nucleolar RNA SNORA3/SNORA45 family (ENSMMMG00000011330.1)". The record is from RNAcentral. Lineage: Eukaryota; Metazoa; Chordata; Mammalia; Rodentia; Sciuridae.
AAGACUAGAAUCAUAUCCUGACUCAACAUUUGCCCUGAUGGGCUCAAGUGCUCAAAGAGAAUUUGCUGGUAUUAGCUUUCUGGGUUUUACUCAAAUCAUAAAUAUAC